This 301-nucleotide ribosomal RNA is filed under the name uncultured bacterium. Its description in RNAcentral is "partial 16S ribosomal RNA". It matches the Rfam family "Bacterial small subunit ribosomal RNA", at positions 509 to 809 of the family's 1533-position model. The record is from RNAcentral.
CAGUCGCCACGGUAAUGCGUAGGUGGCGAGCGUUGUCCGGAAUUAUUGGGCGUAAAGGGAGCGCAGGCGGACAUAUAAGUCCAUCUUAAAAGUGCGGGGCUCAACCCCGUGAGGGGAUGGAAACUGUAUGCCUUGAGUGUAGGAGAGGAAAGCGGAAUUCCCAGUGUAGCGGUGAAAUGCGUAGAUAUUGGGAGGAACACCAGUGGCGAAGGCGGCUUUCUGGACUGUAACUGACGCUGAGGCUCGAAAGCCAGGGGAGCGAACGGGAUUAGAUACCCGCGUAGUCCCUGUCUCUUAUACA